RNAcentral lists this ribosomal RNA (465 nucleotides) under uncultured bacterium. RNAcentral describes it as "partial 16S ribosomal RNA". It matches the Rfam family "Bacterial small subunit ribosomal RNA", at positions 338 to 795 of the family's 1533-position model. The record is from RNAcentral.
CCUACGGGAGUCUGCAGUAGGGAAUCUUCCACAAUGGGCGAAAGCCUGAUGGAGCAAUGCCGCGUGGGUGAAGAAGGUCUUCGGAUCGUAAAACCCUGUUGUUAGAGAAGAAAGUGCGGGAGUGUAACUGUUCACGUUUCGACGGUAUCUAACCAGAAAGCCACGGCUAACUACGUGCCAGCAGCCGCGGUAAUACGUAGGUGGCAAGCGUUAUUCGGAUUUACUGGGCGUAAAGCGAACGCAGGCGGUCUUUUAAGUCGGAUGUGAAAGCCUUCGGCUCAACCUGGGUAGUGCAUUUGAGACUGGGAGACUUGAGUGCAGAAGAGGGGAGUAGAACUCCAUGUGUAGCGGUGAAAUGCGUAGAUAUAUGGAGGAACACCAGUGGCGAAGGCGGCUCUCUGGUCGGUGACUGACGCUGAGGUUCGAAAGCGUGGGUAGCAAACAGGAUUAGAUACCCCAGUAGUC